RNAcentral lists this ribosomal RNA (1372 nucleotides) under uncultured bacterium. RNAcentral's name for it is "bacterial SSU rRNA". It matches the Rfam family "Bacterial small subunit ribosomal RNA", at positions 28 to 1381 of the family's 1533-position model. The record is from RNAcentral.
GAUGAACGCUGGCGGCGUGCCUAAUACAUGCAAGUCGAGCGAACGGACGAGAAGCUUGCUUCUCUGAUGUUAGCGGCGGACGGGUGAGUAACACGUGGAUAACCUACCUAUAAGACUGGGAUAACUUCGGGAAACCGGAGCUAAUACCGGAUAAUAUUUUGAACCGCAUGGUUCAAAAGUGAAAGACGGUCUUGCUGUCACUUAUAGAUGGAUCCGCGCUGCAUUAGCUAGUUGGUAAGGUAACGGCUUACCAAGGCAACGAUGCAUAGCCGACCUGAGAGGGUGAUCGGCCACACUGGAACUGAGACACGGUCCAGACUCCUACGGGAGGCAGCAGUAGGGAAUCUUCCGCAAUGGGCGAAAGCCUGACGGAGCAACGCCGCGUGAGUGAUGAAGGUCUUCGGAUCGUAAAACUCUGUUAUUAGGGAAGAACAUAUGUGUAAGUAACUGUGCACAUCUUGACGGUACCUAAUCAGAAAGCCACGGCUAACUACGUGCCAGCAGCCGCGGUAAUACGUAGGUGGCAAGCGUUAUCCAGAAUUAUUGGGCGUAAAGCGCGCGUAGGCGGUUUUUUAAGUCUGAUGUGAAAGCCCACGGCUCAACCGUGGAGGGUCAUUGGAAACUGGAAAACUUGAGUGCAGAAGAGGAAAGUGGAAUUCCAUGUGUAGCGGUGAAAUGCGCAGAGAUAUGGAGGAACACCAGUGGCGAAGGCGACUUUCUGGUCUGUAACUGACGCUGAUGUGCGAAAGCGUGGGGAUCAAACAGGAUUAGAUACCCUGGUAGUCCACGCCGUAAACGAUGAGUGCUAAGUGUUAGGGGGUUUCCGCCCCUUAGUGCUGCAGCUAACGCAUUAAGCACUCCGCCUGGGGAGUACGACCGCAAGGUUGAAACUCAAAGGAAUUGACGGGGACCCGCACAAGCGGUGGAGCAUGUGGUUUAAUUCGAAGCAACGCGAAGAACCUUACCAAAUCUUGACAUCCUUUGACAACUCUAGAGAUAGAGCUUUCCCCUUCGGGGGACAAAGUGACAGGUGGUGCAUGGUUGUCGUCAGCUCGUGUCGUGAGAUGUUGGGUUAAGUCCCGCAACGAGCGCAACCCUUAAGCUUAGUUGCCAUCAUUAAGUUGGGCACUCUAAGUUGACUGCCGGUGACAAACCGGAGGAAGGUGGGGAUGACGUCAAAUCAUCAUGCCCCUUAUGAUUUGGGCUACACACGUGCUACAAUGGACAAUACAAAGGGCAGCGAAACCGCGAGGUCAAGCAAAUCCCAUAAAGUUGUUCUCAGUUCGGAUUGUAGUCUGCAACUCGACUACAUGAAGCUGGAAUCGCUAGUAAUCGUAGGUCAGCAUGCUACGGUGAAUACGUUCCCGGGUCU